This 468-nucleotide ribosomal RNA is filed under the name uncultured bacterium. Its description in RNAcentral is "partial 16S ribosomal RNA". It matches the Rfam family "Bacterial small subunit ribosomal RNA", at positions 28 to 507 of the family's 1533-position model. The record is from RNAcentral.
GACGAACGCUGGCGGCGUGCUUAACACAUGCAAGUCGAACGGAAAGGCCCUGCUUUUGUGGGGUGCUCGAGUGGCGAACGGGUGAGUAACACGUGAGUAACCUGCCCUUGACUUUGGGAUAACUUCAGGAAACUGGGGCUAAUACCGGAUAGGAGCUCCUGCUGCAUGGUGGGGGUUGGAAAGUUUCGGCGGUUGGGGAUGGACGCGCGGCUGAUGAGCUUGUUGGUGGGGUAGGGGCUUACCAAGGCUUUGACGGGUAGCCGGCCUGAGAGGGUGACCGGCCACAUUGGGACUGCGAUACGGCCCAGACUGCUACGGGAGGCAGCAGUGGGGAAUAUUGCACAAUGGGCGGAAGCCUGAUGCAGCAACGCCGCGUGCGGGAUGACGGCCUUCGGGUUGUAAACCGCUUUCGCCUGUGACGAAGCGUGAGUGACGGUAAUGGGUAAAGAAGCACCGGCUAACUACGUG